Molecule: ribosomal RNA, 199 nt
Filed under: uncultured bacterium
Lineage: Bacteria
Description: partial 16S ribosomal RNA
Rfam family: Bacterial small subunit ribosomal RNA
Source: RNAcentral
ACGCUCGACACCUACGAGAGGCAGCAGUCGGGAAUAUUGCGCAAUGGAGGAAACUCUGACGCAGUGACGCCGCGUAUAGGAAGAAGGUUUUCGGAUUGUAAACUAUUGUCGUUAGGGAAGAAAAAGGACAGUACCUAAGGAGGAAGCUCCGGCUAACUACGUGCAGCAGCCGCGGUAAUCUGAGGCGGGCUGGCAAGGC